Molecule: ribosomal RNA, 746 nt
Filed under: uncultured bacterium
Lineage: Bacteria
Description: bacterial SSU rRNA
Rfam family: Bacterial small subunit ribosomal RNA
Source: RNAcentral
AGCGGCGGAUGGGUGAGUAACACGUGGGGAACCUGCCCCUAAGUCUGGGAUACCAUUUGGAAACAGGUGCUAAUACCGGAUAAUAAAGCAGAUCGCAUGAUCAGCUUUUGAAAGGCGGCGUAAGCUGUCGCUAAGGGAUGGCCCCGCGGUGCAUUAGCUAGUUGGUAAGGUAACGGCUUACCAAGGCGACGAUGCAUAGCCGAGUUGAGAGACUGAUCGGCCACAUUGGGACUGAGACACGGCCCAAACUCCUACGGGAGGCAGCAGUAGGGAAUCUUCCACAAUGGACGCAGGUCUGAUGGAGCAACGCCGCGUGAGUGAAGAAGGUUUUCGGAUCGUAAAGCUCUGUUGUUGGUGAAGAAGGAUAGAGGUAGUAACUGGCCUUUAUUUGACGGUAAUCAACCAGAAAGUCACGGCUAACUACGUGCCAGCAGCCGCGGUAAUACGUAGGUGGCAAGCGUUGUCCGGAUUUAUUGGGCGUAAAGCGAGCGCAGGCGGAAAAAUAAGUCUAAUGUGAAAGCCCUCGGCUUAACCGAGGAACUGCAUCGGAAACUGUUUUUCUUGAGUGCAGAAGAGGAGAGUGGAACUCCAUGUGUAGCGGUGGAAUGCGUAGAUAUAUGGAAGAACACCAGUGGCGAAAGGCGGCUCUCUGGUCUGCAACUGACGCUGAGGCUCGAAAGCAUGGGUAGCGAACAGGAUUAGAUACUCCUGGGUAGUCCAUGCCGUAAACGAUGAGUGCUAAGUGU